GGUUAAGCGACCAAGCGUACACGGUGGAUGCCCUGGCAGUCAGAGGCGAUGAAGGACGUGCUAAUCUGCGAUAAGCGCCGGUAAGGUGAUAUGAACCGUUAUAACCGGCGAUUUCCGAAUGGGGAAACCCAGUGUGAUUCGUCACACUAUCAUUAACUGAAUCCAUAGGUUAAUGAGGCGAACCGGGGGAACUGAAACAUCUAAGUACCCCGAGGAAAAGAAAUCAACCGAGAUUCCCCCAGUAGCGGCGAGCGAACGGGGAGGAGCCCAGAGCCUGAAUCAGCAUGUGUGUUAGUGGAAGCGUCUGGAAAGGCGCGCGAUACAGGGUGACAGCCCCGUACACAAAAGCGCAUAUGCUGUGAGCUCGAUGAGUAGGGCGGGACACGUGGUAUCCUGUCUGAAUAUGGGGGGACCAUCCUCCAAGGCUAAAUACUCCUGACUGACCGAUAGUGAACCAGUACCGUGAGGGAAAGGCGAAAAGAACCCCGGCGAGGGGAGUGAAACAGAACCUGAAACCGUGUACGUACAAGCAGUGGGAGCACAGGUUUACCUGUGUGACUGCGUACCUUUUGUAUAAUGGGUCAGCGACUUAUAUUCUGUAGCAAGGUUAACCGUAUAGGGGAGCCGAAGGGAAACCGAGUCUUAAUUGGGCGUUAAGUUGCAGGGUAUAGACCCGAAACCCGGUGAUCUAGCCAUGGGCAGGUUGAAGGUUGGGUAACACUAACUGGAGGACCGAACCGACUAAUGUUGAAAAAUUAGCGGAUGACCUGUGGCUGGGGGUGAAAGGCCAAUCAAACCGGGAGAUAGCUGGUUCUCCCCGAAAGCUAUUUAGGUAGCGCCUCGUGAAUUCAUCUCCGGGGGUAGAGCACUGUUUCGGCUAGGGGGCCAUCCCGGCUUACCAACCCGAUGCAAACUGCGAAUACCGGAGAAUGUUAUCACGGGAGACACACGGCGGGUGCUAACGUCCGUCGUGAAGAGGGAAACAACCCAGACCGCCAGCUAAGGUCCCAAAGUCAUGGUUAAGUGGGAAACGAUGUGGGAAGGCCCAGACAGCCAGGAUGUUGGCUUAGAAGCAGCCAUCAUUUAAAGAAAGCGUAAUAGCUCACUGGUCGAGUCGGCCUGCGCGGAAGAUGUAACGGGGCUAAACCAUGCACCGAAGCUGCGGCAGCGACGCUUAUGCGUUGUUGGGUAGGGGAGCGUUCUGUAAGCCUGCGAAGGUGGCCUGUGAGGGUUGCUGGAGGUAUCAGAAGUGCGAAUGCUGACAUAAGUAACGAUAAAGCGGGUGAAAAGCCCGCUCGCCGGAAGACCAAGGGUUCCUGUCCAACGUUAAUCGGGGCAGGGUGAGUCGACCCCUAAGGCGAGGCCGAAAGGCGUAGUCGAUGGGAAACGGGUUAAUAUUCCCGUACUUGGUGUUACUGCGAAGGGGGGACGGAGAAGGCUAUGUUGGCCGGGCGACGGUUGUCCCGGUUUAAGCGUGUAGGUGUGUGUUCCAGGUAAAUCCGGUUCACUUUAACACUGAGGCGUGACGACGAGGCACCACGGUGCUGAAGCAACAAAUGCCCUGCUUCCAGGAAAAGCCUCUAAGCAUCAGGUAACAUCAAAUCGUACCCCAAACCGACACAGGUGGUCAGGUAGAGAAUACCAAGGCGCUUGAGAGAACUCGGGUGAAGGAACUAGGCAAAAUGGUGCCGUAACUUCGGGAGAAGGCACGCUGACACGUAGGUGAAGUGGUUUACCCAUGGAGCUGAAGUCAGUCGAAGAUACCAGCUGGCUGCAACUGUUUAUUAAAAACACAGCACUGUGCAAACACGAAAGUGGACGUAUACGGUGUGACGCCUGCCCGGUGCCGGAAGGUUAAUUGAUGGGGUCAGCGCAAGCGAAGCUCCUGAUCGAAGCCCCGGUAAACGGCGGCCGUAACUAUAACGGUCCUAAGGUAGCGAAAUUCCUUGUCGGGUAAGUUCCGACCUGCACGAAUGGCGUAAUGAUGGCCAGGCUGUCUCCACCCGAGACUCAGUGAAAUUGAACUCGCUGUGAAGAUGCAGUGUACCCGCGGCAAGACGGAAAGACCCCGUGAACCUUUACUAUAGCUUGACACUGAACAUUGAGCCUUGAUGUGUAGGAUAGGUGGGAGGCUUUGAAGCGUGGACGCCAGUCUGCGUGGAGCCAACCUUGAAAUACCACCCUUUAAUGUUUGAUGUUCUAACGUGGACCCGUAAUCCGGGUUGCGGACAGUGUCUGGUGGGUAGUUUGACUGGGGCGGUCUCCUCCUAAAGAGUAACGGAGGAGCACGAAGGUUGGCUAAUCCUGGUCGGACAUCAGGAGGUUAGUGCAAUGGCAUAAGCCAGCUUGACUGCGAGCGUGACGGCGCGAGCAGGUGCGAAAGCAGGUCAUAGUGAUCCGGUGGUUCUGAAUGGAAGGGCCAUCGCUCAACGGAUAAAAGGUACUCCGGGGAUAACAGGCUGAUACCGCCCAAGAGUUCAUAUCGACGGCGGUGUUUGGCACCUCGAUGUCGGCUCAUCACAUCCUGGGGCUGAAGUAGGUCCCAAGGGUAUGGCUGUUCGCCAUUUAAAGUGGUACGCGAGCUGGGUUUAGAACGUCGUGAGACAGUUCGGUCCCUAUCUGCCGUGGGCGCUGGAGAACUGAGGGGGGCUGCUCCUAGUACGAGAGGACCGGAGUGGACGCAUCACUGGUGUUCGGGUUGUCAUGCCAAUGGCACUGCCCGGUAGCUAAAUGCGGAAGAGAUAAGUGCUGAAAGCAUCUAAGCACGAAACUUGCCCCGAGAUGAGUUCUCCCUGAGACUUUGAGUCUCCUGAAGGAACGUUAAAGACGAUGACGUUGAUAGGCCGGGUGUGUAAGCGCAGCGAUGCGUUGAGCUAACCGGUACUAAUGAACCGUGAGGCUUAACCUU
This 2908-nucleotide ribosomal RNA is filed under the name Salmonella enterica. RNAcentral's name for it is "23S ribosomal RNA". It matches the Rfam family "Bacterial large subunit ribosomal RNA". The record is from RNAcentral. Lineage: Bacteria; Pseudomonadati; Pseudomonadota; Gammaproteobacteria; Enterobacterales; Enterobacteriaceae. RNAcentral also lists the same sequence under 1 other name.